UACGUAGGAUCCGAGCGUUGUCCGGAUUUAUUGGGCGUAAAGGGUGCGCAGGCGGACUGGUGAGUCUGGGGUGAAAUCUCGCUGCUUAACAGCGAAACUGCCUUAGAUACUAUCAGUCUUGGAUAAGCGAGAGGUUCGUGGAAUUCCGAGUGUAGCAGUGAAAUGUGUAGAUAUUCGGAAGAACACCAGUGGCGAAGGCAGCGAACUGGCGCUUUAUCGACGCUCAUGCACGAAAGCAUGGGGAUCAAACAGG
This 253-nucleotide ribosomal RNA is filed under the name uncultured bacterium. RNAcentral describes it as "partial 16S ribosomal RNA". It matches the Rfam family "Bacterial small subunit ribosomal RNA", at positions 524 to 776 of the family's 1533-position model. The record is from RNAcentral.